GGUGGUAUGGCGGAAUGGUAGACGCUAUGUAGACUUUCGAGAUAGGUUCGUAAAUGGGAGGAUAUGGAUUUUAAAUCAAAACACCUAUCAUGCAGGUUCGAGUCCUGCUAUCACCA
RNAcentral lists this transfer RNA (116 nucleotides) under Caudoviricetes sp. RNAcentral's name for it is "tRNA-Thr". It matches the Rfam family "tRNA". From Rfam's summary of the family: Transfer RNA (tRNA) molecules are approximately 80 nucleotides in length. Their secondary structure includes four short double-helical elements and three loops (D, anti-codon, and T loops). Further hydrogen bonds mediate the characteristic L-shaped molecular structure. tRNAs have two regions of fundamental functional importance: the anti-codon, which is responsible for specific mRNA codon recognition, and the 3' end, to which the tRNAs corresponding amino acid is attached (by aminoacyl-tRNA synthetases). tRNAs cope with the degeneracy of the genetic code in two manners: having more than one tRNA (with a specific anti-codon) for a particular amino acid; and 'wobble' base-pairing, i.e. permitting non-standard base-pairing at the 3rd anti-codon position. Lineage: Duplodnaviria; Heunggongvirae; Uroviricota; Caudoviricetes. The record is from RNAcentral.